AGGGGUNAAAGGUUUUUGCUCUUAAGAUGAGUCGCGUAAGAUUNGCUNGUUGGUGAGGUAACGGCUCACCAAGGCGACGAUCUUUUACUUGUCUGAGAGGAUGAUCAGUCNCUCUGGAACUGAGACUCGGUCCAGGCUCAAACGGGAGGCAGCAGUUGGGAAUUUUGCACUAUGGAGGAAACUCUNAUGCNNGAGCGCCGCGUGAGUGAUGAAGGCUUCGGGUCGUAAAGCUCUGUCGCNGGGGAAUUACUCUAUGAAUGUUCCCUGUNAGAAAGGAUCCGGCGUUAAGUCAGAGUGAAAGCCAGGGCUCAACCCUGGAAGUGCAUUUGAUACUGCGAAGCAUGAGUCUCGGAGAGGUUACUAGAAUUGUUGGUGUAGUGGUGAAAUACGUAGAUAUCAACAGGAAUACCGGAGGCGAAGGCGGGUAACUGGCCGAACACUGACACUGAGAUCCGAAAGCGUGGGGAUCAAACAGGAUUAGAUACCCUNGUAGUCCACGCCGUAAACGAUGGAUACUUGUUGUUGGAGGUAUUGACACCUUCAGUGACGAACUAACGCGUUAAGUAUCCCGCCUNGGGAGUGGUGUUAAACGGGAGGAAGGUGGGGAUGACGUAAAGUCCUCAUGGCCCUUAUGCCUAGGGCUACACACGUGCUACAAUGGUAGUCACAGAGNGAAGCUAAGCGGCGAGGUAGAGCANAUCGCUUAAAAGCUAUCUAAGUUCAGAUUGAUCUCUGCAACUCGAGAUCAUGAAGUUGGAAUCGCUAGUAAUCGCGGAUCAGAAUGCNGCGGUNAAUACGUU
Molecule: ribosomal RNA, 800 nt
Filed under: Bdellovibrio bacteriovorus
Lineage: Bacteria; Pseudomonadati; Bdellovibrionota; Bdellovibrionia; Bdellovibrionales; Pseudobdellovibrionaceae
Description: bacterial SSU rRNA
Rfam family: Bacterial small subunit ribosomal RNA
Source: RNAcentral